CAGAACGAACGCUGGCGGCAGGCCUAACACAUGCAAGUCGAGCGCGCCCUUCGGGGUGAGCGGCGGACGGGUUAGUAACGCGUGGGAAUAUGCCCAAAGGUACGGAAUAGCCUCUGGAAACGGAGAGUAAUACCGUAUGUGCCCUUCGGGGGAAAGAUUUAUCGCCUUUGGAUUAGCCCGCGUUAGAUUAGGUAGUUGGUGGGGUAAUGGCCUACCAAGCCUACGAUCUAUAGCUGGUUUUAGAGGAUGAUCAGCAACACUGGGACUGAGACACGGCCCAGACUCCUACGGGAGGCAGCAGUGGGGAAUCUUGGACAAUGGGGGCAACCCUGAUCCAGCCAUGCCGCGUGAGUGAUGAAGGCCUUAGGGUCGUAAAGCUCUUUCGCCUGUGAAGAUAAUGACGGUAGCAGGUAAAGAAACCCCGGCUAACUCCGUGCCAGCAGCCGCGGUAAUACGGAGGGGGUUAGCGUUGUUCGGAAUUACUGGGCGUAAAGCGCACGUAGGCGGAUCGGAAAGUUGGGGGUGAAAUCCCGGGGCUCAACCCCGGAACUGCCUCCAAAACUAUCGGUCUAGAGUUCGAGAGAGGUGAGUGGAAUUCCGAGUGUAGAGGUGAAAUUCGUAGAUAUUCGGAGGAACACCAGUGGCGAAGGCGGCUCACUGGCUCGAUA
RNAcentral lists this ribosomal RNA (668 nucleotides) under Ruegeria sp. Its description in RNAcentral is "bacterial SSU rRNA". It matches the Rfam family "Bacterial small subunit ribosomal RNA", at positions 25 to 739 of the family's 1533-position model. Lineage: Bacteria; Pseudomonadati; Pseudomonadota; Alphaproteobacteria; Rhodobacterales; Roseobacteraceae. The record is from RNAcentral.